Molecule: long non-coding RNA, 2358 nt
Organism: Musca domestica (house fly)
Lineage: Eukaryota; Metazoa; Arthropoda; Insecta; Diptera; Muscidae
Exons: 7
Source: RefSeq, a predicted model, not a curated record
AUAACUAUUAUUGCAGAUUGUUUAAGAGUUCGGUGUUAUUUCCAGAUUUUCUAAUCUUUUAUUUAUAUUUCUCCCUUUCAGAUAUUAGUAAACACUCGGUCUCUUGGCAUAAAGAUUGUAACCAAAAUGUUGCUCAAGGCCGGUUUUUGGACAACACGGAUUUUGGCAGAAGGAAUACUUCUGGUUGGCGCUGGACGGACAUGUCACACACACAGGACGAAAUUUGCUGCCGUUCCAUUAGCCGGGUUACUUGGCUUGGCUUAAACCCUGUCAUGGACACAAUUAUUUCCGCCAGGGAAUUCAACAUAAAUUGGCUGACCUCCUCCGUUCAUAGAAUCGGAGGGGUCAGAGAUGGUUUUAACGGUUGGUGUAAAUGUUGGCGUUGCCUAAACAAUAUAUAAAAGGACACACAAACAUUUAAACACCAUUAAUGUAAUACCAUACAACACAAUACUCACUUUAACUUGUUCGCACAACCGCAUUCACACACAACAAUAAAACACAAGUGUUAAUUACACACAAAAACAAAAUUUAAUUAAAUUUUUUUUUUUUUUGGGAGAUUCUCUUCAAAUUUCUGGUAUGGUGAAAUAAAAAAAAUGUCUCCUUUGCUGAACACCAAACAAACUGCCCCGAUUUUCCCCCGUUAUGCCUUUUAUAUGGCCGCAGCCAUUUACAAUUUUCCGGGAUUCUCGCGCAAUUUUCCUGAUUCAUCACAUUACCUUUGUCGUGCCUACUGAGCCCUACAUCAGAGUUGUAUUUCUCUGGCUUAUAUGUUUUCCACCGGUUGGCAACACUGAUUUCUUCAACCUCUGCGACGAGCUUAACAUAUCCGGUUCAUUUUUCCCUGACCGGCAGCAAGCAAACAUCUCAUGUCGGGGACUUGCUGUUAAUUAUUUAUUCUUUUUUUAAAUAAAAAACCACAUGCAACAAAACUUCACCAUAUCCAGUGAAAACGACGGAUAUGGUGAUGUGCAUGUUUUUUUUCUUUUAACAAUGACUGCGAGGCUAAUAUAAAUUAUCGGGCGAGCCGUCUUGGAGAUCUGGGUGACCACGAGGAAUGUACAAGCAAAAAAAAGUUAAAACAGGCAUGGAACAGAACACGCAGAAAAACCAUAAGCAAGAUUUUACAAAUGAAAUGGCAUUUGAAUGUGUGUGUGUGUAAUUUCAAAAGUGGCGUGGGUUCCACACAUCUAUUGUUCGUGCGUACCCGCAAGCGGUGUUAGCAAUACACCUAUGUGUGAGAGUGUGUUACAAUACUCAUUCAUUCACACAAUGUAACUAAACGCAUUCAUGUCGUCUCAUUUCUUUGAAUGGAUUGAAUACACACCACACAUUGCGGCACUUCACGCAUCACCAAUGUAUUGCACAUUUUCCCAUAACUAACGGAACUCACACAGAAUGGACAGCGUCUUGGAAGUAAGUAGGGAAUUCUUUAAAAAAAAAACACCGUUUACCUACAAAAACGCCCUUGCGCUUCAGGUAGUGUUGUACCAUUAUUGAUUUCAUCUGCACCUGGCGACGACAUAUGGGUAACACCAUACAUGGUUAAAAUGCCAGCCCGAACACCUUUCGUUGCAGAGACAAAUGCUUUGGCCACAUAUACAGGCAAUAAAUUUUUAACUUUGUUGAUGUGGGAAAUUGUCAUAAAAAUGUUUCACCGAGCCAGACAAGUCACUGUGCGCAAUCUGGGGGCACAUCCGUGGUUUUGCUACUUGAGCAACAAAAAGGAUUCGUAAAUCUUUUCGCAGCACAAUUACAACCCAUAAUUUAUAGGUCCCUUGGUGUAAUGUGAAUUUUUGUGGGAGGAGAUUAAUUGCGUAUUGGAACGCUCUUAGAGAUCACUACCUGUGAUGAAAAAGGUGUUUUGGAGCGCAUUUAUCCGAAUAGGAUUCAGAACAGGGAUUUUCAGAUAUUAGUAAACACUCGGUCUCUUGGCAUAAAGAUUGUAACCAAAAUGUUGCUCAAGGCCGGUUUUUGGACAACACGGAUUUUGGCAGAAGGAAUACUUCUGGUUGGCGCUGGACGGACAUGUCACACACACAGGACGAAAUUUGCUGCCGUUCCAUUAGCCGGGUUACUUGGCUUGGCUUAAACCCUGUCAUGGACACAAUUAUUUCCGCCAGGGAAUUCAACAUAAAUUGGCUGACCUCCUCCGUUCAUAGAAUCGGAGGGGUCAGAGAUGGUUUUAACGGUUGGUGUAAAUGUUGGCGUUGCCUAAACAAUAUAUAAAAGGACACACAAACAUUUAAACACCAUUAAUGUAAUACCAUACAACACAAUACUCACUUUAACUUGUUCGCACAACCGCAUUCACACACAACAAUAAAACACAAGUGUUAAUUACACACAAAAACAAAA